This 950-nucleotide ribosomal RNA is filed under the name Prymnesium parvum. RNAcentral's name for it is "partial Bacterial large subunit ribosomal RNA". It matches the Rfam family "Bacterial large subunit ribosomal RNA", at positions 715 to 1723 of the family's 2925-position model. Lineage: Eukaryota; Haptophyta; Prymnesiales; Prymnesiaceae. The record is from RNAcentral.
GCGAAACCGUGUGAUCUACCCAUGGGCAGGCUGAAGCUGUAGUAACAUACAGUGGAGGGCCGAACCGGUUGACGUUGAAAAGUCUUCGGAUGACCUGUGGGUAGGGGUGAAAGGCCAAUCAAACUCGGAAAUAGCUCGUACUCCCCGAAAUGCAUUUAGGUGCAGCGUUGUAUGUAUUUAUAUAGAGGUAGAGCUACUGAUUGGAUGCGGGGGCUUCACCGCCUACCAAUUCCUGACAAACUCCGAAUGCUAUGAAAUGUUAAUCAGCAGUGAGGGCAUGGGUGCUAAGGUCCAUGUCCGAGAGGGAAAGAACCCAGACCAUCAGCUAAGGUCCCAAAAUAUAUGUUAAGUUGAAAUAACGAGGUUGGACUGCCCAGACAGCUAGGAUGUUGGCUUGGAAGCAGCCAUUCAUUUAAAGAGUGCGUAACAGCUCACUAGUCGAGCGGUCCGGCAUGGAUAAUAAUCGGGCAUAAACAUAUUACCGAAGCUAUGGCAUCGAAAGAUGGGUAGGGGAGCAUUGUAGUGUCGUCGAAGGUGUGUCGUGAGGCAUGCUGGAGAAGCUACAAAAGAAAAUGUAGGCAUAAGUAACGAUAAUGCGGGCGAGAAACCCGCACACCGAAAGACCAAGGUUUCCUCAGCUAUGCUAAUCAGCUGAGGGUUAGUCAGGACCUAACGCGAACCCGAACGGGGUAGUGGAUGGACAACGGGUUAAUAUUCCCGUACCUGCUCACACUAAAAGUGACGGAUCUCUGGAGUUGCUGCGUACUGACGGAAUAGUACGUUGAAGCAGUAAUGCGAUAGUACACUAAGGCUACGGCCGCGGUGAUAAUGUAGCGAAGGAGGUUCCAAGAAAAGCGAGUGAAGCAGCCUGUACCGUAAACCGACACAGGUGGUUGGGAUGAGAAUUCUAAGGAGCUCGAGAGAUUCAUGGCUAAGGAACUAGGCAAAAU